Molecule: transfer RNA, 70 nt
Filed under: Hypseleotris klunzingeri (western carp gudgeon)
Lineage: Eukaryota; Metazoa; Chordata; Actinopteri; Gobiiformes; Eleotridae
Also listed under: 2 other names
Description: tRNA-Ile
Rfam family: tRNA
About the family: Transfer RNA (tRNA) molecules are approximately 80 nucleotides in length. Their secondary structure includes four short double-helical elements and three loops (D, anti-codon, and T loops). Further hydrogen bonds mediate the characteristic L-shaped molecular structure. tRNAs have two regions of fundamental functional importance: the anti-codon, which is responsible for specific mRNA codon recognition, and the 3' end, to which the tRNAs corresponding amino acid is attached (by aminoacyl-tRNA synthetases). tRNAs cope with the degeneracy of the genetic code in two manners: having more than one tRNA (with a specific anti-codon) for a particular amino acid; and 'wobble' base-pairing, i.e. permitting non-standard base-pairing at the 3rd anti-codon position.
Source: RNAcentral
GGAGCCGUGCCUGAAGUAAAGGGCCACUUUGAUAGAGUGAAUAAUGGGGGUUAAAGUCCCCCCAGCUCCU